This 2902-nucleotide ribosomal RNA is filed under the name Klebsiella pneumoniae. Its description in RNAcentral is "23S ribosomal RNA". It matches the Rfam family "Bacterial large subunit ribosomal RNA". Lineage: Bacteria; Pseudomonadati; Pseudomonadota; Gammaproteobacteria; Enterobacterales; Enterobacteriaceae. The record is from RNAcentral.
GGUUAAGCGACUAAGCGUACACGGUGGAUGCCCUGGCAGUCAGAGGCGAUGAAGGACGUGCUAAUCUGCGAAAAGCGUCGGUAAGGUGAUAUGAACCGUUAUAACCGGCGAUGUCCGAAUGGGGAAACCCAGUGCAAUUCGUUGCACUAUCGUUAACUGAAUACAUAGGUUAACGAGGCGAACCGGGGGAACUGAAACAUCUAAGUACCCCGAGGAAAAGAAAUCAACCGAGAUUCCCCCAGUAGCGGCGAGCGAACGGGGAGCAGCCCAGAGUCUGAAUCAGCUUGUGUGUUAGUGGAACGGUCUGGAAAGUCCGACGGUACAGGGUGAUAGUCCCGUACACCAAAAUGCACAGGCUGUGAACUCGAAGAGUAGGGCGGGACACGUGGUAUCCUGUCUGAAUAUGGGGGGACCAUCCUCCAAGGCUAAAUACUCCUGACUGACCGAUAGUGAACCAGUACCGUGAGGGAAAGGCGAAAAGAACCCCGGCGAGGGGAGUGAAAAAGAACCUGAAACCGUGUACGUACAAGCAGUGGGAGCACCUUCGGGUGUGACUGCGUACCUUUUGUAUAAUGGGUCAGCGACUUAUAUUCUGUAGCAAGGUUAACCGUAUAGGGGAGCCGCAGGGAAACCGAGUCUUAACUGGGCGUUAAGUUGCAGGGUAUAGACCCGAAACCCGGUGAUCUAGCCAUGGGCAGGUUGAAGGUUGGGUAACACUAACUGGAGGACCGAACCGACUAAUGUUGAAAAAUUAGCGGAUGACUUGUGGCUGGGGGUGAAAGGCCAAUCAAACCGGGAGAUAGCUGGUUCUCCCCGAAAGCUAUUUAGGUAGCGCCUCGUGAAUUCAUCUUCGGGGGUAGAGCACUGUUUCGGCUAGGGGGUCAUCCCGACUUACCAACCCGAUGCAAACUACGAAUACCGAAGAAUGUUAUCACGGGAGACACACGGCGGGUGCUAACGUCCGUCGUGAAGAGGGAAACAACCCAGACCGCCAGCUAAGGUCCCAAAGUCAUGGUUAAGUGGGAAACGAUGUGGGAAGGCACAGACAGCCAGGAUGUUGGCUUAGAAGCAGCCAUCAUUUAAAGAAAGCGUAAUAGCUCACUGGUCGAGUCGGCCUGCGCGGAAGAUGUAACGGGGCUAAACCAUGCACCGAAGCUGCGGCAGCGACACUAUGUGUUGUUGGGUAGGGGAGCGUUCUGUAAGCCUGCGAAGGUGUGCUGUGAGGCAUGCUGGAGGUAUCAGAAGUGCGAAUGCUGACAUAAGUAACGAUAAAGCGGGUGAAAAGCCCGCUCGCCGGAAGACCAAGGGUUCCUGUCCAACGUUAAUCGGGGCAGGGUGAGUCGACCCCUAAGGCGAGGCCGAAAGGCGUAGUCGAUGGGAAACAGGUUAAUAUUCCUGUACUUGGUGUUACUGCGAAGGGGGGACGGAGAAGGCUAUGUUAGCCGGGCGACGGUUGUCCCGGUUUAAGCAUGUAGGCUGGUUGUCCAGGAAAAUCCGGAUAAUCAAGGCUGAGGUGUGAUGACGAGGCACUACGGUGCUGAAGUAACAAAUGCCCUGCUUCCAGGAAAAGCCUCUAAGCAUCAGGUAACAUCAAAUCGUACCCCAAACCGACACAGGUGGUCAGGUAGAGAAUACCAAGGCGCUUGAGAGAACUCGGGUGAAGGAACUAGGCAAAAUGGUGCCGUAACUUCGGGAGAAGGCACGCUGGUGUGUAGGUGAAGUCCCUGCGGAUGGAGCUGAGACCAGUCGAAGAUACCAGCUGGCUGCAACUGUUUAUUAAAAACACAGCACUGUGCAAACACGAAAGUGGACGUAUACGGUGUGACGCCUGCCCGGUGCCGGAAGGUUAAUUGAUGGGGUUAUCCGUAAGGAGAAGCUCUUGAUCGAAGCCCCGGUAAACGGCGGCCGUAACUAUAACGGUCCUAAGGUAGCGAAAUUCCUUGUCGGGUAAGUUCCGACCUGCACGAAUGGCGUAAUGAUGGCCAGGCUGUCUCCACCCGAGACUCAGUGAAAUUGAACUCGCUGUGAAGAUGCAGUGUACCCGCGGCAAGACGGAAAGACCCCGUGAACCUUUACUAUAGCUUGACACUGAACAUUGAGCCUUGAUGUGUAGGAUAGGUGGGAGGCUUUGAAGCGUGGACGCCAGUCUGCGUGGAGCCAACCUUGAAAUACCACCCUUUAAUGUUUGAUGUUCUAACGUUGGCCCCUUACCGGGGUUGCGGACAGUGUCUGGUGGGUAGUUUGACUGGGGCGGUCUCCUCCCAAAGCGUAACGGAGGAGCACGAAGGUUAGCUAAUCCUGGUCGGACAUCAGGAGGUUAGUGCAAUGGCAUAAGCUAGCUUGACUGCGAGCGUGACGGCGCGAGCAGGUGCGAAAGCAGGUCAUAGUGAUCCGGUGGUUCUGAAUGGAAGGGCCAUCGCUCAACGGAUAAAAGGUACUCCGGGGAUAACAGGCUGAUACCGCCCAAGAGUUCAUAUCGACGGCGGUGUUUGGCACCUCGAUGUCGGCUCAUCACAUCCUGGGGCUGAAGUAGGUCCCAAGGGUAUGGCUGUUCGCCAUUUAAAGUGGUACGCGAGCUGGGUUUAGAACGUCGUGAGACAGUUCGGUCCCUAUCUGCCGUGGGCGCUGGAGAAUUGAGGGGGGCUGCUCCUAGUACGAGAGGACCGGAGUGGACGCAUCACUGGUGUUCGGGUUGUCAUGCCAAUGGCACUGCCCGGUAGCUAAAUGCGGAAGAGAUAAGUGCUGAAAGCAUCUAAGCACGAAACUUGCCCCGAGAUGAGUUCUCCCUGAGACUUUAAGUCUCCUGAAGGAACGUUAAAGACGAUGACGUUGAUAGGCCGGGUGUGUAAGCGCAGCGAUGCGUUGAGCUAACCGGUACUAAUGAACCGUGAGGCUUAACCUU